CUGCUCUUCACCAGAAGCAGAAUGGAUGAGAGUAUUUACACAAAUGCCAGUGCCCCAUUUAUCUGGCAGUGAAGCCCAAGAAGAGGUGCUCUUCUGCUGUCUUUUCUCUCCAGAAAUACCCUCUCUGACCCUCAGCUUUGUGCCUUCUGCUAAACAUCAGCUCCAUGGGGUCACAAAUUUGCUCAUCUUCACAUGUUUGCUGCACUCCCAGAAAAUGGGAACUUUAUGAAAACAUAUGCCAAGCCCCAGCUAUGCGCUCAUCAGCACGAGAUAAGGGAAGAAAGUCACACACUGACAGUUUCUGUGGCAAGAAGACUUCAUCAGGCGAAGAAUCUCAUUCCCUCACCAGGUGUAAUCAUACCACAGUGCUGCUGGUGACAUUUCUUCAAGAGAACCCAAAGCCUACAGAGAGUGAAAUAUCAAAAAGGUUCCACUGUGGACAGCUGAAAAAAUGUCCUCUCAAAAGAUGUCCAAGACCUGCUGUGUCUGGAUCUAACAUCUGUUUCUUCAGACUGCACCUCAUUAAUGACUUUCUCAGAGUUUGGAAGUAGGUGAGGCCAAUAAAGACUCAUAGCAAAGCAUCCAGAAUUCCUGACUUGGAACCUCCCGUGAGUUCACAAGGGGUGAUGGGGGACAGCGAGACGGACAGAUGGCCUGUUGUCUUAAUGUUCAACUUGAAUAACUAAAGUGCCUGCAAUCCCUCUUUAUCUGUGUGCUUUGCAUCUGAAAUCUACUCUGAAGUGCCC
This 746-nucleotide long non-coding RNA is filed under the name Capra hircus (goat). RNAcentral's name for it is "lncRNA (ENSCHIG00000007826.1)". Lineage: Eukaryota; Metazoa; Chordata; Mammalia; Artiodactyla; Bovidae. The record is from RNAcentral.